GAUGAACGCUGGCGGCGUGCCUAAUACAUGCAAGUCGAACGCGCAGCGAGAGGUGCUUGCACCUUUCAAGCGAGUGGCGAACGGGUGGGUAACACGUGGAUAACCUGCCUCAAGGCUGGGGAUAACAUUUGGAAACAGAUGCUAAUACCGAAUAAAACUUAGUAUCGCAUGAUAUCAAGUUAAAAGGCGCUACGGCGUCACCUAGAGAUGGAUCCGCGGUGCAUUAGUUAGUUGGUGGGGUAAGGCUUACCAAGACGAUGAUGCAUAGCCGAGUUGAGAGACUGAUCGGCCACAUUGGGACUGAGACACGGCCCAAACUCCUACGGGAGGCUGCAGUAGGGAAUCUUCCACAAUGGGCGCAAGCCUGAUGGAGCAACGCCGCGUGUGUGAUGAAGGCUUUCGGGUCGUAAAGCACUGUUGUAUGGGAAGAAAUGCUAAAAUAGGGAAUGAUUUUAGUUUGACGGUACCAUACCAGAAAGGGACGGCUAAAUACGUGCCAGCAGCCGCCGUAA
RNAcentral lists this ribosomal RNA (512 nucleotides) under uncultured bacterium. RNAcentral's name for it is "partial 16S ribosomal RNA". It matches the Rfam family "Bacterial small subunit ribosomal RNA", at positions 28 to 523 of the family's 1533-position model. The record is from RNAcentral.